This 189-nucleotide unclassified non-coding RNA is filed under the name fungal sp. RNAcentral describes it as "partial internal transcribed spacer region". The stretch from base 1 to 46 matches the Rfam family "Eukaryotic small subunit ribosomal RNA", at positions 1786 to 1831 of the family's 1831-position model. Lineage: Eukaryota; Fungi. The record is from RNAcentral.
AAGUCGUAACAAGGUUUCCGUAGGUGAACCUGCAGAAGUAUCAUUAUCAAUGAUAUUCCAUCAUACACCGUGAACUUUGAGGAUGAUUAGAUCUUCCCACUAAAAAAAUAUUAAACACUAUAAUUUUUAAGCAGAGUCAAUUAUGAAAAUAAUUUAGACAACUUUUAGUAACGGAUCUCUAGGUUCUCA